AAGGUGGAAACCGAAAAGCCUUUAAUAGAGUAGGAU
This 36-nucleotide non-coding RNA is filed under the name unclassified sequences. The record is from Rfam.